CCUCGAGUCUUUGACGCAAGUUGCGCCCAAAGCCAUUAGGCCGAGGGCACGCCUGCCUGGGUGUCACACAUCGUCAUCCCCAUGCAAAUGCGCAUUGGGGUGAAAGUUGGCCUCCCGCGAAACAUUUGUUGUGGUUGGUCGAAAACCAAGGUAAUGUCGGGGUCCCCCCGCGAGAAACGGUGGAUGAGCAACGCUCGAGACCAACGGCGGUGGCGGACACUCGGUACACCAAUUGGUGGGCCCUAUUGUGUUUUUGGAAAAAAUCAAAGACGCUCAUAAAGAGACCUCAGGUCAGGCGGGGCUACCCGCUGAGUUUAAGCAUAUCAAUAAGCGGAGGAAAAGAAACUAACAAGGAUUCCCUUAGUAACGGCGAGCGAACCGGGAACAGCCCACCAUGAGAAUCGGUCGCCUCUGGCGUUCGAAUUGUAGUCUG
Molecule: ribosomal RNA, 433 nt
Filed under: Vigna trilobata
Lineage: Eukaryota; Viridiplantae; Streptophyta; Magnoliopsida; Fabales; Fabaceae
Description: eukaryotic LSU rRNA
Rfam family: Eukaryotic large subunit ribosomal RNA (bases 282-433)
Source: RNAcentral